AGUAGCACCCCCAUUCUACCUCCAAGUGUGACAACCAGAAAUUUUUCCAUCCAAUGCCAAAUGUUUUCUGGGGCACAAAAAUCACCACCGGUUGAGAACCACUGGUUAUAUGAUUAGACAGAAAGAAAAAGAGAAAAAGAAAGAUGCCUGGCUAGGCCAAUUAGAGAUCUUAGAUAAUUACUAUAUGCAUGCAACAUUAGAUAGUUUUAUUUUCAUUAAACUUUUAAAUCUUUUAAAAUCUCUUACAGACCCUACUUUGAAGCUAGCUUGAUAUAAUGCUAAUGUGACCUUGAACGAUUUCUUUCUUCCUGAGUUUGCCUACUAGUAUAGCUUAAAGAUCCAAGUUACACUAUUACUCACUUAUAUCAUAGCCAGCAUUGCUUGAUCAGAUUAUCAGAUAGAUACAGUAUCACGGAGACAAAAUCCUUUCAUUAUGAUGUAAGAUAAAAAAUAUCUUUCAUUAACAACACACGUAAAGGAAGUACCCAUUGGACCAACUCAGGUUAGAAGGGUACCAGACCAGAAGAUCAGAUCGUAGAAGUUACUGGAGAAAAAGAUCAGCAGACAGCACUCUUGAACUACAUGCCAGGCCUCUUCUUCCUGGAACUCUAAUGGAUUUAAAUGGCUUAAGAGACGGGAUGAAUUGUUGAAAAUGGUUCUUUCAAAAGACCUCACGGAAGGCCAAAGACAAGACUCACUGAGGCCAAGCUGAUCAACAAUAUCUAUAAGUUGACGCAUUCUAAUCAUGUGGCGAUCUUGACCUUGAGAGCUUGAUUUGUGGACCAGUGUCCCCAAGAAGAUGACCAUCAGACAGAUGACAAUCCUCUCCAUGUUGCCAGGACUGGAUCUCAUAAGUACCAAGAGUAGAGCUAGACCUUGGUCUCGUUUUCACUUCAGCUUGACUGAGAACAGGUAUACGUGUGCAUGUGCUAAUGUGUGGGGGCAGGGAUUGAUGGAGUCAACGAAAUGUGCCCCAUCUGCAUCUUUGACAGGAAAAAGAGAGAAUGGGUGAAUUCCAAUUUUCAGCAUGAAUCAAGAAUGUCACCGAUGAAGUUUUUGAAUGCUGUGCUCCUAAUCUCAUUUUCCUCCUCCAGAGACUUCGGUGAAGGGUGAUGCAAACCGUGUUUCUUCAGCAUGUGAGCACUGUCAGGCAUGAGUGUGGCAGCUCCAGAAUGUCUAUACCGGAGUGGCUGAGAGUCAGCAACUUGGCUGGAAGCUACACUUGAAUAGCAAACAAACCACUUUUACUUAGUUUCCAUGUCUAUUUGGUACCUUGGAGUACAGUGAUGAGUUUUACUAGAUGUGGACUUUCCAGGAAUAUAGCCAAGGUCGUCACCAUGAAAGUAUGAAACUUUAGUCAUUUACCCAAGGGGAUUCAUGGACAUAUAUUAAGAAUUUUCUUUAAUGGACUGUGUUUAUAGAACACCUGGUCAGGACAGAAAUGAGGCCAGGGAACUAAAGGGAUUAGAAGUCUGAAGAGGAAUGGUUUUGCAUGGGAAAACUGUGCCAGGUGUAAAACUGGGCUGAACACUAUUUGUCCCCAACUCUCUGGCCCGGUCCUUAUAGUUCUUUCUGUGAUCCCUGCGUGGUGAAUACUCCUUUUCUGCUUUCACUGGCUUUGGCCCCCCAUGGAUAGAAUUAGAUGUUCUGCAUGGCAAACUGUGGGAAGAGAGGCCUCCAGUGUUUAGAGUGAUAUUAUCAUGUGUACCACUACUAUUAUACAUACUAAAGGUAUUCAGACAGGUGGCUUGUUUCUGGGCUUUAUAUAGAUCUCUGUCAAACUAGAAGAAAAAUGUCACUAAAAUAAUUCAAGACAAUUUUUGUACUUUCCAACGAUGUUCAGGUAACAGCUGAAAAUAUUCUCACUUAUUUGACUUGAGGAAGAAAAUUCGAACGAGGAAAAUCAUCAAGGAUUUGCCAAAGUCCCUUCUGUAAAAUCUUCCUUAAGGAAGUUUAAACACUCCUAUUCUCUCUUCUCCCAUUCUUUUGAACUCACUGCAUGUAUUGAUAUCACUGACUUGGUUUCUUUUCUAGAAUAUAUGUAAAAGUAAGAGUGUGUAUAUAUAACCCAUUAUGUACAUAACAAGAACAGUUCCUUCCAAUAUUCAAAUUUCAUGACUCUAGGUCACUACUGUGCAUUCUAAGAAGGUCAGGGACUCAUGGAGACCAAAGGGUCAAUCCUGGUCAUUGUUGUCUUACGAGAGAAAAACAAGAGCCUUCUCGGGCCCUGUGUUCUCUAGCUCUUGAUGUGGCCUCUUUGGUAUCACUGGCAGCCCCACAGUCUGGUGGUCAGUGUGUCGCAGCAGAGGGUCACUCACCGAUGCUGCUUAUCCACAGCACCUUUUCUGUGGGGAAUGGGGGCCUCUAUUCUGCUAGUAGACUCAGGUGUGUCACUGUGAUACUCUAAGACUGGGUUCAUUGAGGACAGGUCUCUUUGCUAACAUUCACACAAAGUCAUUGUUUGGAAGCACAGUCCUGCUUCUGAAAUGCUAGGUCUGGAGGGGUUCCAGCAGCAGCCACAUGGGCCCUCUCCUCAGAUCUUGGCUCCAACAUGGGAUACUCAGCAGUGAGGCUAGAGAUCAGAUGUCCUUCAUUCCUUGACCACUAAGCCUAGAGGAUGGAGAGAAAGAACUGGAAUAUCUGCACUCUUCAACCUGAGUCCACUCCAACUCCAUACCACAAGGUGAGACAAGUUCCACCAGCCUCUCCAGCCUCCUGUCUAAUAUGAUCAGAGAAAUCCUCUUUUCUCUGGACUCAAGACCCAUCCCUGUUUCCUUCCCUAGGGCGACAGGUGGCUAUAGCACCCUUCGUCUUGGCCCUGCAGCCACCAAUACACAACCAUAAAAAUAAAGUAGUCCAAUUAUUAGCCUUCGCUGUGUCCUGUGUCCUCCUCCCAAGAGAUCUGCGGAACCUUCAUUUAUCACCUGAAUGGGAGCCUCCUCCCCAUGCUUCCCCAGGGGGCAGCCAUAGGACCUCACAGAGAGGUUACUGUGUAUCACUCUAGACUCUUUUCCUAUAUACAUAGAACAAUAAAGGAAUAGAUAGGGACACAUAGACACUUAAGGAAAUAGAAUUAUAUAUGGAGAUAGAAACAUAAAAAAUAGCACAGACAUAUAGAUAUAGAAAACUGGUACUUUUACAUAAAAACUUAAUCUCACCAUAUGUAGUCUAUAAAUUUUUUUUUCACUCAACCUAUGUCAGGGACAGGAGUCCAUACAGGAUUCACACACAGGGAUAUCUCAUUAGAUUAAUAUUCCAUUGUACGGCAGUACCACAAUUUAUCCAUUCAUAACCCUACUGACAAACAUUUAGAUUGUUUCCAGUUUUUAUCCACUGCAAACAAUGCUGCAAUGAACAUCCUUAUAUAGAUCUCUAAGCAUAUGUGAAAUAUAUUCUUUUAAUGUUGUAUUUUAAAAUACAUGUCUUGAAUUUCACUUCCUGAGUGGAAAGAUACUUUGAAAAAUUUUAUAGAAACUGCCAAAUUUCCCUCUGACAUGCCAUACCAGUUUAUACUCCCAACAACAUAGAGUUUCUUUUCCUCUCAUUAAUACUUUAUGUUAUGAAUAUUUUAAAUAUCUACCAACGUAUUGGGGCAAAAAUAGUAUCCUCUCAUUGGUUUGUCUUUCCUUGAUCAAUAGUUAGAUCUGGUGUAUUUUCAUCAGUGUGUUUAUUUUUCCACAAAUUGUCUGAUUCAUAUUAUUUGCCAAUUUAUUCAUUUGUUUCUUAUUUACUUAUAAAGGCUCUUUUUCUAUUAAAGAUAUGUUAAACAUG
Molecule: long non-coding RNA, 3771 nt
Organism: Pan troglodytes (chimpanzee)
Lineage: Eukaryota; Metazoa; Chordata; Mammalia; Primates; Hominidae
Exons: 6
Source: RefSeq, a predicted model, not a curated record